GAUGAGCGCUGGCGGCGUGCCUAAUACAUGCAAGUCGAGCGAACGGACGAGAAGCUUGCUUCUCUGAUGUUAGCGGCGGACGGGUGAGUAACACGUGGAUAACCUACCUAUAAGACUGGGAUAACUUCGGGAAGCCGGAGCUAAUACCGGAUGAUAUUUUGAACCGCAUGGUUCAAAAGUGAAAGACGGUCUUGCUGUCACUUAUAGAUGGAUCCGCGCUGCAUUAGCUAGUUGGUAAGGUAACGGCUUACCAAGGCAACGAUGCAUAGCCGACCUGAGAGGGUGAUCGGCCACACUGGAACUGAGACACGGUCCAGACUCCUACGGGAGGCAGCAGUAGGGAAUCUUCCGCAAUGGGCGAAAGCCUGACGGAGCAACGCCGCGUGAGUGAUGAAGGUCUUCGGAUCGUAAAACUCUGUUAUUAGGGAAGAACAUAUGUGUAAGUAACUGUGCACAUCUUGACGGUACCUAAUCAGAAAGCCACGGCUAACUACGUG
Molecule: ribosomal RNA, 497 nt
Filed under: uncultured bacterium
Lineage: Bacteria
Description: partial 16S ribosomal RNA
Rfam family: Bacterial small subunit ribosomal RNA
Source: RNAcentral